UGUGUACNUGGCUGGGACAAGUGCCACCUCAUUGAUACCCAGGAUUGAUUCAGCUGGCUAGAUGGCCAUCAUCUUCAUCCCUCACCAGUCCACAUUUGGCCUCCCCAAGCUGUACACUCAAUUGAAGAGUAUGACCUUCCCCAGUAGAGUAGGACCAUUCUUCANUCAAGGGCAUAUUGUGACUAUCUGUCCUUCCCCUGAUAGAACCUCCAAACAAGCUCUCAAGGAAAAGCCAUCCCUCCCCAUACCCCUGUCUCCUCGUGAGGAGGCUGCUUGGGAACAAGGGUCCAGCCUGUCUCAGCCUCACACCUGUGAAUGUCUGUGAGC
RNAcentral lists this small nuclear RNA (327 nucleotides) under Neotoma lepida (desert woodrat). Its description in RNAcentral is "7SK RNA". It matches the Rfam family "7SK RNA". Rfam says of the family: 7SK was discovered as an abundant small nuclear RNA in the mid-70s but a possible function has only recently been suggested. The record is from Rfam by way of RNAcentral. Lineage: Eukaryota; Metazoa; Chordata; Mammalia; Rodentia; Cricetidae.